This 750-nucleotide ribosomal RNA is filed under the name Triticum aestivum (bread wheat). Its description in RNAcentral is "partial small subunit ribosomal RNA". Lineage: Eukaryota; Viridiplantae; Streptophyta; Magnoliopsida; Poales; Poaceae. The record is from RNAcentral.
AUAAGAGUGAAGGAAGUUGAAGGUGGUGCAGGGCAUUGCCUAAACGGCGCAGGCCAUGAGCACAUUGCAGGAGAUCUAGAAGCAGCGCUAAGACUAUUGAACCAAGCUCAUGAGGCACUGAUUGCAGACAAGGAUAAGGAAAUUUCUGCACUAAUUGCAGAAAAGGACCUCGUGCGAGAGCAGUUUACGACACUGGAGCGGGACUAUGCUGACCUUCGUAGCUACAGCAGUAAACAAGCAGCACAAGUUACUGAAGCAAAGCAAGAGCUUGAGCAGCUGCAAGUGGCAUCCCAAAAGAAGGACGCGCGAGCACGAGCAAAAUCAGUUGAAGCCAAAAGGAAGGUGCUUCCUAAGGAUAAGCGACAGGAGAUGACCUGUAUGCCCAAGGAGACAGAUGGGCAAAUUGAAAAAUGCAAAGAUGGGCAGCCUGAGACUAGUGAAAAGUGCAACAAGGAUACGAGUGAGACACACACAAAAAAUUGUUCACAAGGUCCUGGUUUAAGGGGGCAAGAAAUGAAAAUUUGUUCUUCUAAGCAAAUGCUAGCAAAAGAUGGGCAACCUCAGACUAGCCUGAAGCGCAAGUGCGUCACUUCCUCAUUACCAAAUUAUAAUGAGCAGAAUGCAAAUGAUGAGGAAAAGAGUAAUCAAGUUCUAGAGCCUCUCAACAAGAAGAGGGUACCAGAGAAAGGGGAAGUGGAGCAAGAUGACGGUAAGGUCAAACUCGCCAACGGCCUGCCCAGCAGUCGAUGA